AGAGUUUGAUCAUGGCUCAGGACUAACGCUGGCGGCGUGCCUAACACAUGCAAGUCGAACGCAUCUGUGCUUCGGUACAGAUGAGUGGCGAACGGGUGAGUAACACGUGAGUAACUCCCCUGGGGGAGGGGGAUAACCAUCUGAAAAGGUGGCUAAUACCCCAUAUUCUCUUUUCUCAUAAGAGGAAAGAGGAAAGAUGGCGUAAGCUAUCACCCCGAGAGAGGCUCGCGUCCCAUCAGCUAGUUGGUAAGGUAAGAGCUUACCAAGGCUAUGACGGGUAGCUGGUCUGAGAGGAUGGUCAGCCACACUGGGACUGAGACACGGCCCAGACUCCUACGGGAGGCAGCAGUGAGGAAUCUUGGGCAAUGGGCGAAAGCCUGACCCAGCGACGCCGCGUGGAGGAAGAAGGCCUUCGGGUCGUAAACUCCUGUUCGGGGAGAAGAACAGGAGGGAAGUGAAUAACUUCUCUCCCUGACGGUAU
RNAcentral lists this ribosomal RNA (481 nucleotides) under uncultured Alphaproteobacteria bacterium. RNAcentral's name for it is "bacterial SSU rRNA". It matches the Rfam family "Bacterial small subunit ribosomal RNA", at positions 8 to 478 of the family's 1533-position model. The record is from RNAcentral. Lineage: Bacteria; Pseudomonadati; Pseudomonadota; Alphaproteobacteria.